UAGGGCUCUAAUCUCGGGUUUGGGGAUCUUGCUCCUCAGCUUGUCCGCUCCGAGGAGGUGCACAGGGCGGGGAAAAAGGGAUGAAUUUCCCUUUAUACCGCCCUGCUCAGAUAUUUAUAUGUUCCUUCUAUUUUUCUUGAUGACAAUAAUUGUAAUAGUUACAAUAAAAAUAGUGAUUGUCUGUGGCAGAGGAGCUGAAUGAAACGAGGGUGGAGACAGGAAGAUCAAGAAUAAAUGGUUUCACAAAUCGAAGGGAUUGUCUCUUGAGACGCUGAUUAUUUCAGUGGCACGAUUUAAUGUUUCCUAGAGGAAAUGUUCUUCCUGGAAAUGAGGAUCAUAACCCAGCUGGCUCCAGAUUUCGGAGCGAGGAGGCACAAAUUCUACAGCGCAUAUACCAUAUUCUGAAGAACUGCUCCCAACUUUGCAAGGCAUUACAUCUUAAUCGCAAUUUAGCCCAGUCUUCAACAGGCCAUUCCAAAACCCUAUCUGGCUAGCUGCUUCUGGAUGAUGAGUAUGCACCAUGAAUUUUGUAGCUUCGAGUUCACUGUCACACCUCCUUGGCUAUCGGUGGGUUCCUUAGUUUCAGGUAUGUCAAUGGAUAAGGCACCCUGUAAGCUCUCAGAUGGUGGUGCUGCUGGAGGCAAAGUAGUUGGGGAAGACAAGCUCAUUUAGAGCAUAUAUCAAUUCUGGUAAGAACAAAUUGAUGCCCAUUCCAAGGUAAAAGGGAUCUGAUGCACUCAACCUGGUGGUAGCUGGUAUCUCUAAGACUCAGUGUUGGUCUCUAAUGCUGGCAGGCUGGACACUCCACCAUGGUGAGAGUUACAUCAGCCUUGGUAAGAGGUAGACCAUAUUGGCCGGGCACGGUGGCUCACACCUGUAAUGUCAGCACUUUGGGAGGCUGAGGUGGGUGGAU
This 913-nucleotide long non-coding RNA is filed under the name Homo sapiens (human). Its description in RNAcentral is "HSALNT0342237". The record is from RNAcentral. Lineage: Eukaryota; Metazoa; Chordata; Mammalia; Primates; Hominidae.